Molecule: ribosomal RNA, 836 nt
Filed under: uncultured Bacteroidota bacterium
Lineage: Bacteria; Pseudomonadati; Bacteroidota
Description: bacterial SSU rRNA
Rfam family: Bacterial small subunit ribosomal RNA
Source: RNAcentral
AAAGUCCCCUUCGGGGGAUUAGUAGAGUGGCGUCCGGGUGAGUAACACGUAGGUAAUCUACCUUCGGGUGGGGAAUAACGCAGGGAAACUUGCGCUAAUACCGCAUAAUGCAGCGGCACCACAUGGUGACAGUUGUUAAAGCGGGGGAUUUUCGAACCUCGCGCCUGAAGAGGAGCCUGCGGCAGAUUAGCUAGUUGGUAGGGUAACGGCUUACCAAGGCGACGAUCUGUAGCCGGCCUGAGAGGGCGGUCGGCCACACUGACACUGACAUACGGGUCAGACUCCUACGGGAGGCAGCAGUCGGGAAUUUUGGGCAAUGGGCGAAAGCCUGACCCAGCAACGCCGCGUGAAGGAUGAAAUCCCUCGGGAUGUAAACUUCGCAAGAAUGGGAAGAAUUAGCGAGUAUUAAUACUGCUCGUGAUGACGGUACCAUUUGUAAGCUCCGGCUAACUCCGUGCCAGCAGCCGCGGUAAUACGGGGGGAGCAAGCGUUGUUCGGAUUUACUGGGCGUAAAGGGCGCGUAGGCGGUCAGCACAAGUCAGUUGUGAAAUCUCCGGGCUUAACUCGGAAAGGUCAACUGAUACUGUGCGACUAGAGUGCAGAAGGGGCAACUGGAAUUCUCGGUGUAGCGGUGAAAUGCGUAGAUAUCGAGAGGAACACCUGCGGCGAAGGCGGGUUGCUGGGCUGACACUGACGCUGAUGCGCGAAAGCCAGGGGAGCGAACGGGAUUAGAUACCCCGGUAGUCCUGGCCUUAAACGAUGGAUGCUUGGUGUCUGGAGUUUUAUAGUCUCCGGGUGCCGUAGCUAACGCGUUAAGCAUCCCGCCUGGGGAGUAC